AAGAAUUGGACAAAAUGGACUUAGACUUUAGGAUUUUACCCAAGCUAAUGGAGUUGAAGAGCAACUAGGUCUCAUGCCUUUAAAAUGCUUAAAUGUCAAAGAGCAACUAGGCCUCAUGCCUUUAGAAUGCUUAAAGCUUGAAGAUGAACAUUGAAAGGACUAUAUUCUAAACUCCCUCUUGUCCAUUCUUGGAUUGUUUAUAGAACUUCUUGAUGUGUG
Molecule: long non-coding RNA, 219 nt
Filed under: Lathyrus oleraceus (garden pea)
Lineage: Eukaryota; Viridiplantae; Streptophyta; Magnoliopsida; Fabales; Fabaceae
Description: Pisum sativum (pea) long non-coding RNA (PSAT_LNC007171)
Source: RNAcentral